UAUGUCAUUUUUUGGUUUUCCAGUUUUUUAGACUAUAAACUAUCUAAAUAUGCACGGGUUUAAAUUCUUUCUUUAUUCUUUAUAACAAAAAAGAAUUCAACUUUUUAACCUUAGUGCUUUUCAUCACUUCAUUUUAAAGAAAGCUGAUGAACUUUCCUUGUUUCCUUUUAUUUAGUUAUUCUUUUUUUUUUUCUAUUUAACACCUUGUAGACCUCAUAUUGGUUCCGCCGCAUAUAGGUUAUAUUGCUCAAAAAAUUGCUAAAAUAUUCUCAUUUCAUAAUGUCUCUGUUAUGGAGUUGCUUACACAGUGCUUCCUGAGUAUUGAUCACAUCUAUUUGACUAGAACUUUUACAUUAUGUAGCAGUAAUGUUAGAGAAGGGCCUAUCAAUCCAGGAUUAAUGGUUAACCCAGAAACUGAAAUGCAAUGUGAGCCUCAGGCUGGGGAAAUCAAUCUAGAGUCCUCUAUUGAGGAUCCCUCUCUCAAGAAGGAAAAAGGGGAGAAUGAUAAUAAUUCAAACGCUGCAAACAUGGAAAUCAGAUAUGACAGUAAAGAAUUGAAGUGCUACAGACGAAGAAAGAAAUCAGCUUGUGGGAGCUGAGUUAUGGUUUUGCUUACAUCAACUAAAGAACUGAAAGCCAAGUCUUGUCAGUUUCUUGGCGAGAUAAAGAAAGUUAGUUCCAGCACCUCGAAUCUUGCUUUCAGGCGUGAUAAAAUUCUUUAAUACAGAAUAUCAAAAUGAUCUUGAAGAUCAAUCUUUUGUUAGGGCAUAUACAUGCACGUGGAUGAGAGCUCAUUUUGGAUUUUGUUUGUUUUUUGUUUGUUUGUUUGUUUUUUAUUUUAUUUUUUAAUUCAGAAGCUCAAGUUAGGAAUGCAAAGAAACACCUAAUUCCUGAAACUCGUGUACAAUCGAUCCGAGUAUUGAAGAAUUCCACUACAGCUACACCAUAUAAACAUGAUGAUAUACCAGUUCUUUUUACCACUUCACCCCCUUUAUGACCGAGGCAUGAUGGAAGAGUAGAGGAUCAAAUCUUGAUCAUAUGGCAUGCAUAUAAAAUGUUCUCGCCAAAGCCACCACCCCGAGUGGCUUUUUUUUUUUUUCUUCUUUGAUAGCAUAGAAUUUUUAACCAAAAUGUUCUUUUUCUUGUAAUUUUAAGGGGUUUUCUCUUAAAUGUCCCUCUGAUGCAACUGAAACUGUAUUUGUCUCGUAAGUUAGGAUUAUAUCUGUUUGGCAAGUUUGCUAUAACAAUAAGACUAACGCAAGUUUGCUAUAGCAAUAAGACUAACUCAUGGUCCUGCUUAUUCUUUAGAGAAAUUACAGAGAAUACGCAUUCUUUCUUUUUUUUUUGAAUUCUUACAUUUUUACUUUUUUUUUUUCUUUUUUGCAAUUUUACCUUUUCUUUUUUAACAUUUAUACAUUUUUUCAUAUCCUCUCUCAUUAAAGAUAGAUGUGUGUAAAAUGUGGAAUUAGGCUUAGCUUAUGAGGCAUUGAAUUUGGAUUGCUGAGUUGUAAAAGAAAGGUUUAAGCUGAAUUAAUUAGUUAGAUGCUUGUUAUAGUAGCACACGUGUCUUGGAUUGAUUGGUUGUAUUGUAACAGCUUUGCAACAGCUAUAUGAGCUGAGAACUUCUUGUAACGAUGCAUAUUCUGUUAAUUAGUUGUUAAUACAUUCUUUCCAAAAUUCUCUCUCAACUGCAUCAUUUUCUUCUUCUUUCCAUCCAUUUUAUUCUCUCUUUUCUUAGUCAACAAUCUCAAUUGUAUCACUGGUAUCAGAGCUAAAUCCUCGAAUCUGUGGAGAUAGUUUUGGUAAAAUGGCGGAAAAUACACGAUCUCAAGAAAUCAAGAAAAUGGAAGAAGGAUUAAAGCAAUACGUGAAGACUUUAAUUGCUCAAAGAAAACCGAUGAAUCAUUAGCUGAGUUGAAGAAGUUGUUAGCAAGUUUACAGAUUUACAGAUCAAUACAGCUGCCAAUGUUAAUGGUGGUGGAGCAACAAGAGGUGAUUCUUUCAAUUCAAACACUGGUAUGAUUAAUAACAAUUACCAAAUGCACACUAGGUAUUCAAGAAUUGAAUUUCCUAGAUUUGAAGGUGAGGAUUUGAUGGGGUUGUUGUAUAGAUCUAAGCAAUUUUUUGAGAUAGACGAGACUCCAUCUAUAAGGAAGGUCAGGAUUGCGUCCAUUCAUUUGGAGGGUAGAGCCUUAUAAUGGCACCAAAUCUUUCUUAAAACAGGAUUAACCAGAGACCCACCUUCUUGGGAAAAGUAUGUUAAAGCCCUUACCGUGAGAUUUGGUACUAAUGUGUAUGAGGAUCCUAUGUCAGAUUUGAUGAAUCUCGAGCAGAAUGGUUCUUUGCAGAGUUAUACGGAGAGUUUUGAUGUGAUUAUGAGUCGGGUUUCACUUUCGCAAGAGCAUGCCAUUAGUUGUUUCAUCAGUGGGUUAAAAAUGGAGCUACAAGGAUUGGUGAGAAUUUUCAACCCUCAAACUUUACAGAAAGCUUACUCUAUAGCACGUUUACAAGAUCACAACCUGCAAAAUACUGUCGAAUUUUAUAAAAAUUUCUUCAAACCUUUUUCCAACCAAAACAAACAGUCAACCUUACCUACAUACACCUCAACUUCAAAAGCAAUAUUACCAAACCCAUCAUUCUUUCCAAAACCAAAUCACGUUAACAACCAGGCAAACCCAAUAAUUACUUUACCUUAACCCAAGCAACCCUUUAUUGCUAAAUCAAACCCACCAUUGAGAUUGAUCGAUGCUGAAUUAAAUGAGAAGAGAAGUAAGGGGCUUUGCUUUUGGUGUGAUGAAAAGUUUGUGCCUGGACACAAAUGUUCCAAACGAAAAUUAAAUGAUUACAAUACAGGAGGUAGUUGACGAAGAAUAUGUUGAUGAUCAAGAACAAAAUUCAGGUGGUUAUGCAAAUUAAGAAGAGUUUCCUCAAGUUUCUGUGUUUGCUUUGUGUGGCAAAGGCAGAAAUAAUACUACUCAAACUAUGAGAAUUUUGGGACAACAUAAAAAGAGGAAAUUGCACAUUCUCAUUGAUACAGGAAGCACUCAUAAUCUUUUAGAUGCAAAAGUGGCAAAAGCAAUGCGAUGUCAGUUAACUCAAAUCACUCUUAUGAUGGUAGAGGCUGCUGAAGAAAAGGAGCUUUAUUAUUCUGCGAUGUGCAAAUAAUUUGAGUGGGAGAUAUAAGGGGUUACGUUUAAAACUGAUCUAUAUGUUAUCCCAUUAGGAGCAACAGUGAUGGUUUUGGGAGUUCAAUGGAUGUCUACUCUAGGAGAUAUCACUUGGAAUUUAGGCACAUUGAAAAUGAAAUUCCAGGUUAAUGGGAGACAGUUGGAAAUUGAUGGAGUUCAUUCAACUGUAGUUAAGCAAAUUACGAAGCUGAGAAUGGCAAAGUUGCUGCAGAAAAUGCCAGACCAAGCUGAAGGAAUAAUUCACUUGUUUCAGAUUUUGGUGGCCUCUUCUUCUUUGACAGCACCAGCAAAAUUGAUUAAAGCUAUAGAUCCUGAGGUAUUUCAACCUGUAUUACAGCCUAUUUUGCAGCAGUUUGAGGACAUUUUUGCUGUACCAACUGAGUUGCCACCUUUUAGAGAUUAUAAUCAUAAGAUUGCAUUGAUGUGAGGCCUUAUAAGCUAUCUACUAUGAAAAAAGAUGUUGAGAAGACGGUUGAUGAGUUACUAACUUCUGGAGUGAUUCAGAAUAGUACAAGCCCUUUUUCAUCCCACGUUAUUUUGGUUAAAAAGAAAGAUGGCACAUGGAAAAUGUGCAUUGACUAUUGGGAAUUAAAUAAGAAUAAAGUCAAGGAUAAAUUCCCUAUUCCUGUAAUAGAAGAACUCCUAGAUGUAUUACAUGGUUCAGUGAUUUUUUCAAAGAUUGACUUGAGGUCGGGCUACUAUCAAAUCAUAAUGCCCACUUCAGACAUUCCUAAAACUGCUUUUAAAAUUUCAUGAAGGCCAUUAUGAAUUUCUUGUAAUGCCUUUUGGUCUCACUAAUGCUCCUUCAACUUUUCAAGCUUUGAUGAAUUCUAUUUUUAAACCUUUCCUUUGAAAGUUUAUUUUAGUUUUCUUUGACAAUAUUCCGAUCUACAGCCCAAACAUUGAAACUCAUAAACAACAUCAUACUACUAUUCUCUUUAUACUUUGAUCUCAUACUCUCUUUGCUAAAAGAUCCAAAUGUGUUUUUGGUGGUGUACAUGUUGAAUAUUUGGGGCAUGUAAUCACUCAAAAAGGUGCUUUUACUGAUCCACACAAGAUUCUUGUUGUACAACAAUGGCCAGUAUCUACUACAUUGAAACAACUUCGUGGCUUUCUUGGGCUUACAGGUUACUACAGAAGGUUUUUCAAGAAUAAUAGUGCUAUUUCCAAACCUCUUACAGAAUUAUUGAAGUCUGAUAAGUUGGCUUGGACAGAGGCGGCUCAACAAGCUUUUGAUCUUUUGAAGUCCACUAUGACUUCAGCACCUGCUUUAGCUCUUCCCAAUUUUUCUGAGAAGUUUAUCAUUGAAAGGGAUGCAUCUACAGAUGGAAUUGGGGCUGUAUUAAUUAAUGCAAAAGGGACACCCUAUAGCAUAUAUCAGAAAAUUACUUUCUCCUAAGAAUAGACUUCUUUCAGUUUACGAAAAGGAAUUAUUGGCAUUGGUGUUUGCUGUUUCUAAAUGGCAGCAUUACUUGAUGGGCAGACCAUUUGUUAUUAAUACUGACCAUUAAAGCUCAAAGUACUUGCUGGAGCAAAGAGUUUCUACUCCUAGUCAAUUGAAGUGGUUAACCAAAUUGAUGGGAUUUGAGUUUCAGAUCUGUUAUAAGAAGGGCCAAGAGAAAUUGGCCGCUGAUGCUCUCUCUCGAAUGCAAUAUGUUAAAUUGCUAUCAUUAGUGGUUUCUUCUAUCUAUUGUGACAUUCUAGCUAAGGUUCACUCUAGUUUGCAGCAUGAUUCUCAGUAUCAACCUAUUAUUUAAAAACUACGAGCUGGUUCUAUUACAGAUAGUCCCUACUUAUGGACUAAUGGAACUCUUUUGAGGAAAGGCAGGGUAGUUGAAGGCAACGAUCCUGAUCUCAGACUCCAACUCAUUUAUAACUGCCAUCUUCUGCUGGUCAGUCGGGUGUUCUUAUUAGUACAAAAAGAUUUUCUUUAGUUUUCUUUUGGAAGGGGAUGGAUAAGGAUGUGAGGAACUACAUUAAAGGGUGUGAUACUUGUCAAAUGUGUAAACCUUAGCAAGUAGCUUAUCCUGGCUUACUUAAGCCAUUACCAAUUCCGCAGGGUGUUUGGACUGAUGUAACUUUGGAUUUCAUAGAAGGACUUCCUUCUUCUUACUGGCUGUGGUUGAUAGAUUGAGUAAAUAUUUUCAUUUUAUUGGGCU
Ricinus communis (castor bean) is the source of this 5347-nucleotide long non-coding RNA. RefSeq lists it as uncharacterized. The transcript is spliced from 2 exons. The record is from RefSeq and is a predicted model, not a curated record. Lineage: Eukaryota; Viridiplantae; Streptophyta; Magnoliopsida; Malpighiales; Euphorbiaceae.